Molecule: ribosomal RNA, 425 nt
Filed under: uncultured bacterium
Lineage: Bacteria
Description: partial 16S ribosomal RNA
Rfam family: Bacterial small subunit ribosomal RNA
Source: RNAcentral
GUGGGGAAUCUUGCGCAAUGGGCGAAAGCCUGACGCAGCCAUGCCGCGUGAAUGAUGAAGGUCUUAGGAUUGUAAAAUUCUUUCACCGGGGACGAUAAUGACGGUACCCGGAGAAGAAGCUCCGGCUAACUUCGUGCCAGCAGCCGCGGUAAUACGAAGGGGGCUAGCGUUGCUCGGAAUUACUGGGCGUAAAGGGCGCGUAGGCGGACAGCUUAGUCAGAGGUGAAAGCCCAGGGCUCAACCUUGGAAUUGCCUUUGAUACUGGCUGUCUUGAGUUUGGGAGAGGUGAGUGGAACUCCGAGUGUAGAGGGGAAAUUCGUAGAUAGUCGGAAGAAAACCAGUGGCGAAGGCGACUCACUGGCCCAAUACUGACGCUGAGGCGCGAAAGCGUGGGGAGCAAACAGGAUUAGAAACCCGGGUAGUCC